AGCGAACGCUGGCGGCAGGCCUAACACAUGCAAGUCGAACGGAUCCUUCGGGAUUAGUGGCGGACGGGUGAGUAACACGUGGGAACGUGCCUUUUGGUUCGGAACAACUCAGGGAAACUUGAGCUAAUACCGAAUGUGCCCUUCGGGGAAGGAUUAUCGCCAUUAGAGCGGCCCGCGUCUGAUUAGCUUGUUGGUGAGGUAAAGGCUCACCAAGGCUACGAUCAGUAGCUGGUCUGAGAGGAUGAUCAGCCACAUUGGGACUGAGACACGGCCCAAACUCCUACGGGAGGCAGCAGUGGGGAAUCUUGCGCAAUGGGCGAAAGCCUGACGCAGCCAUGCCGCGUGAAUGAUGAAGGUCUUAGGAUUGUAAAAUUCUUUCACCGGGGACGAUAAUGACGGUACCCGGAGAAGAAGCCCCGGCUAACUUCGUGCCAGCAGCCGCGGUAAAGUAGUCCGUGU
RNAcentral lists this ribosomal RNA (459 nucleotides) under uncultured bacterium. RNAcentral describes it as "bacterial SSU rRNA". It matches the Rfam family "Bacterial small subunit ribosomal RNA", at positions 29 to 535 of the family's 1533-position model. The record is from RNAcentral.